AGUGAACGCUGGCGGUAGGCCUAGCACAUGCAAGUCGAACGGCAGCACAGGAGAGCUUGCUCUCUGGGUGGCGAGUGGCGGACGGGUGAGGAAUACAUCGGAAUCUACUCUGUCGUGGGGGAUAACGUAGGGAAACUUACGCUAAUACCGCAUACGACCUACGGGUGAAAGCAGGGGACCUUCGGGCCUUGCGCGAUUGAAUGAGCCGAUGUCGGAUUAGCUAGUUGGUGGGGUAAAGGCCCACCAAGGCGACGAUCCGUAGCUGGUCUGAGAGGAUGAUCAGCCACACUGGAACUGAGACACGGUCCAGACGCCUACGGGAGGCAGCAGUGGGGAAUAUUGGACAAUGGGCGCAAGCCUGAUCCAGCCAUACCGCGUGGGUGAAGAAGGCCUUCGGGUUGUAAAGCCCUUUUGUUGGGAAAGAGAUCCAGCUGGCUAAUACCCGGUUGGGAUGACGGUACCCAAAGAAUAAGCACCGGCUAACUUCGUGCCAGCCGCCGCGGUAA
This 506-nucleotide ribosomal RNA is filed under the name uncultured bacterium. RNAcentral's name for it is "partial 16S ribosomal RNA". It matches the Rfam family "Bacterial small subunit ribosomal RNA", at positions 29 to 523 of the family's 1533-position model. The record is from RNAcentral.